GUAGGUGGCAAGCGUUGUCCGGAAUUAUUGGGCGUAAAGCGCGCGCAGGCGGUCCUUUAAGUCUGAUGUGAAAGCCCACGGCUCAACCGUGGAGGGUCAUUGGAAACUGGGGGUACUUGAGUACAGAAGAGGAAAGCGGAAUUCCAAGUGUAGCGGUGAAAUGCGUAGAGAUUUGGAGGAACACCAGUGGCGAAGGCGGCUUUCUGGUCUGUAACUGACGCUGAGGCGCGAAAGCGUGGGGAGCAAACAGGAUUAGAUACCCUGGUAGUCCACGCCGUAAACGAUGAGUGCUAAGUGUUAGGGGGUUUUACCCGCCCCCCUUAGUGCUGCAGCUAACGCAUUAAGCACUCCGCCUGGGGGUAGUACGGCCGCAAGGCUG
RNAcentral lists this ribosomal RNA (379 nucleotides) under uncultured organism. RNAcentral's name for it is "partial 16S ribosomal RNA". It matches the Rfam family "Bacterial small subunit ribosomal RNA", at positions 527 to 896 of the family's 1533-position model. The record is from RNAcentral.